GUUCACCAUAUCCAUUCUGUUCACCAUGUUCAUCCUGUUCGUUUGACAUAUUACAAUUUUGGUCUUGUUGUUGUUUUUCUUUACCAUUUCCACAUUCUAUGUCACCAGUUUGUUUAUUAAUAAUAUUAUCAUUACCAACUGAUUGAUUAAUAAUUAAAUUUUUUAAGUUGUAUACAGACAUUUUGUUACGUUUAUAAGCAAAUGUAGAAAAUAUUUGAAUGCUUACUAAAUUAAAGUAUAUAUAACAUGAAAAAAUAAAUUUUUUUAGAAUAAAAAAAUAUAUAUAUAUCAUUAUUACUACAUAAUAUUUUAUAUAAAUGAUAAUUAAAAUUAGAUAUAGGACCUUCCUUUGUAUAUAUAUGAAAAGAACACCAUUGUUUUUUUUUUUAUUAAUAAUAAUUGGAAUAUUGUAAGACAAUUUUCUUUAAGCAUUGCUAUAUCGAACUCGUAAGGAUUAUUUACAGUAAUAAAAAAAACGACAAGAAUUACUUAACUUUUCAUCAUAAUUAUAAUGAGGUACUUUAUUAGAUCUAUAUGCAUUUAAUAAUGGAAAGUUAUCAUACUCUUUUUCAUUUGAAUUGUAGGUAUUUAUAUUUCCAGUACCAGUGUCUGUAUUAUUACCCAUACAAUCAUCACUGUUAUAAUUAUUACUAUAUUUAUUACAACUAUUAAUAUUGUCACUAUUGUUAUUUUUUUUAUUUUUUUCAUAAUUAUGAAAUUGUGUUUUAAUAUGUUCAUAUAUAUGAAUAUAAUUAUUAUAUAAUUUACGUGUAUAAUUAUUCAACUUUUCAUUUUUUAUUUUAGCUACAUCACCCUCCUUAUUACUAUUACUAUUAUAAUUGCUAUUAUAAUUAUUACUACCAAAACCAACAUGACUAUUAUUACUGUUGACUUUAAAAUUAUUAUUAUGAAUAUUGUAACUCUUAUUCGUGUUAUUCGGGUUCAUAUAAUUUAUAUUAUUAUAAUUAUUUAUAUUUUCUUUUUUUCCUUAACGGUGCAUGUAUACAUUCAUUAAUAUAAGUACUAUUAUUACUAUUACUAUUACUAUUGUAACUAUAAUUGUUACUAUAAUUGUUACUAUAAUUGUUACUAUAACUGUUACUAUAAUUGUUGCUAUAAUUGUUACUACUAUCAUCUUCAUCAUUUUCAUUAGUAUACAUGUUUUUUUUUUUUUUUUUUUUUUUUUUUUUUUUUUUUUUUUUUUUUUUUUUUUUUUUUUUUUUUUUUUUUAGCAUGCUGUUAUAUUUUUUAUUAAUAAAAAAUAUGUAUUAUAUUAAGAUUAUAUAUAU
RNAcentral lists this long non-coding RNA (1289 nucleotides) under Piliocolobus tephrosceles (Ugandan red Colobus). Its description in RNAcentral is "lncRNA (ENSPTEG00000019098.1)". Lineage: Eukaryota; Metazoa; Chordata; Mammalia; Primates; Cercopithecidae. The record is from RNAcentral.